This 472-nucleotide ribosomal RNA is filed under the name uncultured Magnetococcus sp. RNAcentral describes it as "bacterial SSU rRNA". It matches the Rfam family "Bacterial small subunit ribosomal RNA", at positions 79 to 587 of the family's 1533-position model. The record is from RNAcentral. Lineage: Bacteria; Pseudomonadati; Pseudomonadota; Magnetococcia; Magnetococcales; Magnetococcaceae.
UUCGGGUGCCGACGAGUGGCGAACGGGUGAGUAACGCGUGGAUACCUGUCCUUUGGUGGGGAAUAACGUCUAGAAAUGGACGCUAAUACCGCAUAAGCCCUGUGGGGGAAAGAUUUAUCGCCAUAGGAGGGGUCCGCGUCGGAUUAGCUUGUUGGUGGGGUAACGGCCUACCAAGGCGACGAUCCGUAGCUGGUCUGAGAGGAUGAUCAGCCACACUGGGACUGAGACACGGCCCAGACUCCUACGGGAGGCAGCAGUGGGGAAUAUUGCGCAAUGGAGGAAACUCUGACGCAGCGACGCCGCGUGGGUGAAGAAGGCCUUAGGGUUGUAAAGCCCUUUCAGUGGGAAAGAUGAUGACGGUACCCACAGAAGAAGCCCCGGCUAACUCCGUGCCAGCAGCCGCGGUAAUACGGAGGGGGCCAGCGUUGUUCGGAAUUACUGGGCGUAAAGGGCGCGUAGGCGGUUGAUCAAG